RNAcentral lists this long non-coding RNA (303 nucleotides) under Nicotiana benthamiana. RNAcentral describes it as "long non-coding RNA (NBEN_LNC041380)". Lineage: Eukaryota; Viridiplantae; Streptophyta; Magnoliopsida; Solanales; Solanaceae. The record is from RNAcentral.
UUAUGUCCCACCUAUGAUUGUUAGUUAUGGUAGUUACUGUAUGAUAUUAUUACAUAUUAUUGAUAUUAUUGCAUGCGAUUGUAUUUAUGUUUCUUAUGUUUAGAUAAUUAUUUAUGCUAUUGCUAUGUAUGCUAUUUAUGCUAUUUCUGCUGGAGUUAAUAAUAAUGCUCUAUUGUUAUUGUUUUAGUUUUUGUCUUUGUUUUUGUUUUACUGCUGUUUUUCCUUUUAUCCUAUGAGCCGAGGGUCGAUUGGAAACAGCUUCUCUGCCCUUUCGGGUAGGGGUAAGGCUCGUCUACAUAUUAC